GCUGGGCGUGGUGGUGCACGCCUGUAAUCCCAACUACUCAGGAGGCUGAGGUAAGAGAAUCACUUGAACCCAGGAAGCUAAGGUUGCAGUGAGCCGAGAUUAUGCCACUGCACUCCAGCCUGGGCAACAGAGGAAGACUCUGCCUCAU
This 148-nucleotide non-coding RNA is filed under the name Nomascus leucogenys (northern white-cheeked gibbon). The record is from Rfam by way of RNAcentral. Lineage: Eukaryota; Metazoa; Chordata; Mammalia; Primates; Hylobatidae.